This 253-nucleotide ribosomal RNA is filed under the name uncultured bacterium. Its description in RNAcentral is "partial 16S ribosomal RNA". It matches the Rfam family "Bacterial small subunit ribosomal RNA", at positions 524 to 776 of the family's 1533-position model. The record is from RNAcentral.
UACAGAGGGUGCAAGCGUUGUUCGGAAUUAUUGGGCGUAAAGGGAGUGUAGGCUGUUAAGCAAGUCUUCUGUGAAAUCUACGGGCUUACCCCGUAACGUGCAGAGGAAACUGCUUAGCUUGAGUGUCGGAGAGGAUAGGGGAAUACCCGGUGUAGAGGUGAAAUUCGUAGAGAUCGGGUGGAACACCAGUGGCGAAGGCGCCUAUCUGGCUGACAACUGACGCUGAGACUCGAAAGCAUGGGGAGCAAACAGG